GAUGAACGCUAGCGGCAGGCUUAACACAUGCAAGUCGAGGGGUAUAGUUCUUCGGAACUAGAGACCGGCGCACGGGUGCGUAACGCGUAUGCAAUCUACCUUUCACAAAGGGAUAGCCCCAGAGAAAUUUGGAUUAAUACCUUAUAGUAAUACGACUUGGCAUCAAGAUGUAUUUAAAGAUUUAUCGGUGAAAGAUGAGCAUGCGUCCCAUUAGCUUGUUGGUAAGGUAACGGCUUACCAAGGCAACGAUGGGUAGGGGUCCUGAGAGGGAGAUCCCCCACACUGGUACUGAGACACGGACCAGACUCCUACGGGAGGCAGCAGUGAGGAAUAUUGGACAAUGGGCGCAAGCCUGAUCCAGCCAUGCCGCGUGCAGGAUGACGGUCCUAUGGAUUGUAAACUGCUUUUAUACAGGAGAAACACUCCGACGUGUCGGAGCUUGACGGUACUGUAAGAAUAAGGAUCGGUCUAACUCCGUGCCAGCAGCCG
RNAcentral lists this ribosomal RNA (489 nucleotides) under uncultured bacterium. Its description in RNAcentral is "bacterial SSU rRNA". It matches the Rfam family "Bacterial small subunit ribosomal RNA", at positions 28 to 517 of the family's 1533-position model. The record is from RNAcentral.